Molecule: long non-coding RNA, 276 nt
Filed under: Drosophila guanche
Lineage: Eukaryota; Metazoa; Arthropoda; Insecta; Diptera; Drosophilidae
Source: RNAcentral
GUCUGGGGAAGGGUGGCGAGCUAACGGAGCGUGUUGGUGUGAGAAGUGUUGUAGAUGUAGAUGACAGAUGAGGAAAAAAUUUAAAAUUUGGCAAAACACAGAUGUAGUCCUGAGUGCCGGGUAUAAAAGUUGUGACGCGUAAAAAGCGUCUCACACGUCCCUUUUCGUUGUUUUUAGGUUUUAUGUUACCGCUCUACCCUUGGAGAGAGGGGAAGUAUUAUUUUAAUUGAGUUUUUCUUCGUUGGCUAAUUUCCAACAAACUAUUUUUCGUUUGGG